CAGGCAGUGCACCGACUUCUGACGUGCAGUCCAACGUGAUGGGGACCCUGCCUGUAAGAGGUCACGGUCAAGGGGUGUCAGACAGAAACUGCCAUGGGGGCAGCAAACUCUUGGGCAGUAUCUCAGUACUCACAUUUGCCUCUGGGUUUUUUUUGCAGGAGAUGUAGACAGCCUGACAUGGCCGAAGGCAACUCACAGUGAGGUACCAUCCUUGUAACCUUUGGGAGCAGAUGAGCAUUGGAGGUAUCCCAGAAGAUGACAGCACAUUGUCCAAGUCUGGUCAUAGGCUGACACGAGGACCUGCCUGGGUGACAUUGACUGCCAGUAGUCUGACGAUGGCAGGAAUCUCUGAGCCAGCCCAGGUGCCCCUCCUGUGCAUCAAAGAUGGAUUGGCAUCCCCAGCUCUCGGAAAGAUAAGUGGACGCAAUUUACCCCUUACCGAGACAAGUUAA
Molecule: long non-coding RNA, 452 nt
Filed under: Manacus vitellinus (golden-collared manakin)
Lineage: Eukaryota; Metazoa; Chordata; Aves; Passeriformes; Pipridae
Description: lncRNA (ENSMVIG00005005245.1)
Source: RNAcentral